UCUCCGUUGGUGAACCAGCGGAGGGAUCAUUGCUGGAACGCGCCCCAGGCGCACCCAGAAACCCUUUGUGAACUUAUACCUACUGUUGCCUCGGCGUUAGCUGGUCCUUCUGGGCCCCCUGGAGACAGGGAGCGGCGCGCCGGCGGCCCACUUAACUCUGUUUCUUAGUGAAUCUCUGAGUAAAAAAACAAAUGAAUCAAAACUUUCAACAACGGAUCUCUUGGUUCUGGCAUCGAUGAAGAACGCAGC
RNAcentral lists this unclassified non-coding RNA (249 nucleotides) under uncultured fungus. Its description in RNAcentral is "sequence contains ITS1, 5.8S rRNA gene". The stretch from base 201 to 249 matches the Rfam family "5.8S ribosomal RNA", at positions 1 to 49 of the family's 154-position model. The record is from RNAcentral. Lineage: Eukaryota; Fungi.